AAGCAUUUCAAAAGAACACUUUUUGGUCUGUUGCUUGUAUCUCUCCCAUGCUUCAUAGAGGGAUUCACCUUCUUUCUGUCAGAAGGUUUGAACAUUCACUCUAAGUUU
This is a small nucleolar RNA of Arachis stenosperma, 108 nucleotides long. The record is from RefSeq and is a predicted model, not a curated record. NCBI's taxonomy places the organism in Eukaryota, Viridiplantae, Streptophyta, Magnoliopsida, Fabales, Fabaceae.